This 389-nucleotide ribosomal RNA is filed under the name uncultured bacterium. RNAcentral describes it as "bacterial SSU rRNA". It matches the Rfam family "Bacterial small subunit ribosomal RNA", at positions 30 to 414 of the family's 1533-position model. The record is from RNAcentral.
AGUGAACGCUGGCGGCAGGCCUAACACAUGCAAGUCGAACGGCAGCACGGCAGUAGCAAUACUGUGGGUGGCGAGUGGCGGACGGGUGAGGAAUACAUCGGGAUCUACCCUGUUGUGGGGGAUAACGUAGGGAAACUUACGCUAAUACCGCAUAAGAACUGAGGUUGAAAGCGGCGGACCGCAAGGCGUCGCGCGAUUGGAUGAACCGAUGUCCGAUUAGCUAGUUGGCGGGUAAAGGCCCACCAAGGCGACGAUCGGUAGCUGGUCUGAGAGGACGACCAGCCACACUGGAACUGAGACACGGUCCAGACUCCUACGGGAGGCAGCAGUGGGGAAUAUUGGACAAUGGGCGCAAGCCUGAUCCAGCCAUGCCGCGUGGGUGAAGAAGG